Bufo bufo (common toad) is the source of this 234-nucleotide long non-coding RNA. RefSeq lists it as uncharacterized. The transcript is spliced from 3 exons. The record is from RefSeq and is a predicted model, not a curated record. NCBI's taxonomy places the organism in Eukaryota, Metazoa, Chordata, Amphibia, Anura, Bufonidae.
CCUAGAACUUACCACCAGGAUCACUGAGCUGCUGAGCGGAGAGGUUCCUAUAAGGUGUCAGGAUGUCGCUGUCUAUUUCUCCAUGGAGGAGUGGGAGUAUUUAGAAGAACACAGGGAUCUGUACAAGGACGUCUUGAUGGAGAAUCACCAGUCCCUCACAUCACCGGGUGAAGGCGGGAUGAGCGGCUCCCAUGGACAUCUCCAUUUAUCAUCCCAUCAUGAAGCAGAAUAUAA